RNAcentral lists this ribosomal RNA (441 nucleotides) under uncultured bacterium. Its description in RNAcentral is "partial 16S ribosomal RNA". It matches the Rfam family "Bacterial small subunit ribosomal RNA", at positions 338 to 795 of the family's 1533-position model. The record is from RNAcentral.
GCUACGGGUGGCAGCAGUGGGGAAUAUUGGGCAAUGGAGGAAACUCUGAACCAGCAACGCCGCGUGAAGGAUGAAGGCUCUCGGAUUGUAAACUUUUGUCGCGAGGGAUGAAGAAUGACGGUACCUCGUAAGAAAGCCCCGGCAAACGACGUGCCAGCAGCCGCGGUAAUACGGAGGGGGCGAGCGUUGUCCGGAAUGACUGGGCGUAAAGGGAGUGUAGGCGGCAUAUUAAGUUAUGUGUGAAUGCCCGCGGCUCAACCGAGGAAUUGCACAUAAAACUGGUACGCUGGAGUGCAGGAGAGGUAGGUGGAAUUCGCGGUGUAGCGGUGGAAUGCGUAGAUAUCGGGAGGAACACCGAAGGCGAAGGCGGCUUACUGGACUGUAACUGACGCUGAGGCUCGAAAGCGUGGGGAGCAAACAGGAUUAGAUACCCUUGUAGUC